CCAUGCUAGUCUUUGUAGUAAUACAAGGCAUACGGCUCAGUAACGCGUAGUCAACCUACCCUAUGGACGGGGAUAAUCUCGGGAAACUGAGCAUAAUACCCGGCAGACCACUUAUCCUGGAAUGGUUAGUGGUUAAAAUGAUUCGUCGCCAUAGGAUGGGACUGCGGCCUAUCAGCUUGUUGGUGAGGUAAUGGCCCACCAAGGCGAUUACAGGUACGGGCUCUGAGAGGAGAGGCCCGGAGAUGGGUACUGAGACAAGGACCCAGGCCCUAUGGGGCGCAGCAGGCGAGAAAACUUUGCAAUGUGCGAAAGCACGACAAGGUUAAUCCGAGUGAUUUCUGCUAAAGGAAUCUUUUGUUAGUUCUAAAAAUACUAGUGAAUAAGGGGUGGGCAAGUUCUGGCGUCAGCCGCCGCGGUAAAACCAGCACCUCAAGUGGUCAGGAGGAUUAUUGGGCCUAAAGCAUCCGUAGCCUGUUCUAUAAGUUUGCGGUUAAAUCUAUACGCUCAACGUAUAGGCUGCCGUAAAUACUGUAGAACUAGGGAGUGGGAGAGGUAGACGGUACUCGAUAGGAAGGGGUAAAAUCCUUUGAUCUAUUGAUGACCACCUGUGGCGAAGGCGGUCUACCAGAACACGUUCGACGGUGAGGGAUGAAAGCUGGGGGAGCAAACCGGAUUAGAUACCCGGGUAGUCCCAGCUGUAAACGAUGCAGACUCGAUGAUGCAAUGGCAUGGAGCUAUUGCAGUAUCGCAGGGAAGCCGUUAGGUUUGCCGCCUGGGAAGUACGUACGCAAGUAUGAAACUUAAAGGAAUUGGCGGGGGAGCACCACAAGGGGUGAAGCCUGC
Molecule: ribosomal RNA, 843 nt
Filed under: uncultured archaeon
Lineage: Archaea
Description: bacterial SSU rRNA
Rfam family: Archaeal small subunit ribosomal RNA
Source: RNAcentral